RNAcentral lists this ribosomal RNA (312 nucleotides) under Mannheimia haemolytica. RNAcentral describes it as "bacterial SSU rRNA". It matches the Rfam family "Bacterial small subunit ribosomal RNA", at positions 1129 to 1440 of the family's 1533-position model. The record is from RNAcentral. Lineage: Bacteria; Pseudomonadati; Pseudomonadota; Gammaproteobacteria; Pasteurellales; Pasteurellaceae.
GGGUGGGAACUCAAAGGAGACUGCCGGUGAUACACUGGAGGAAGGUGGGGAUGACGUCAAGUCAUCAUGGCCCUUACGAGUAGGGCUACACACGUGCUACAAUGGCGUAUACAGAGGGAGGCGAGCCUGCGAGGGUAAGCGAAGCUCAGAAAGUACGUCUAAGUCCGGAUUGGAGUCUGGAACUCGACUCCAUGAAGUCGGAAUCGCUAGUUAUCGCGGAUCAGAAUGUCGCGGUGAAUACGUUCCCGGGCCUUGUACACACCGCCCGUCACACCAUGGGAGUGGGUUGUACCAGAAGUAGAUAGCUUAACC